CAGCCGCCGCGGGAAUACGAAGGGGGCUAGCGUUGUUCGGAUUUACUGGGCGUAAAGGGUGCGUAGGCGGACUGAUAAGUCAGGGGUGAAAUCCCAAGGCUCAACCUUGGAACUGCCUUUGAUACUGUUAGUCUUGAGUUCGAGAGAGGUGAGUGGAACUGCGAGUGUAGAGGUGAAAUUCGUAGAUAUUCGCAAGAACACCAGUGGCGAAGGCGGCUCACUGGCUCGAAACUGACGCUGAGGCACGAAAGCGUGGGGAGCAAACAGGAUUAGAUACCCCCGUAGUCCCUGUCUCUUAUAC
This 301-nucleotide ribosomal RNA is filed under the name uncultured bacterium. RNAcentral describes it as "partial 16S ribosomal RNA". It matches the Rfam family "Bacterial small subunit ribosomal RNA", at positions 509 to 807 of the family's 1533-position model. The record is from RNAcentral.